Molecule: ribosomal RNA, 508 nt
Filed under: uncultured bacterium
Lineage: Bacteria
Description: partial 16S ribosomal RNA
Rfam family: Bacterial small subunit ribosomal RNA
Source: RNAcentral
GACGAACGCUGGCGGCGUGCCUAAUACAUGCAAGUCGAACGCUUCUUUCCUCCCGAGUGCUUGCACUCCAUUGGAAAGAGGAGUGGCGGACGGGUGAGUAACACGUGGGUAACCUACCCAUCAGAGGGGGAUAACACUUGGAAACAGGUGCUAAUACCGCAUAACAGUUUAUGCCGCAUGGCAUAAGAGUGAAAGGCGCUUUCGGGUGUCGCUGAUGGAUGGACCCGCGGUGCAUUAGCUAGUUGGUGAGGUAACGGCUCACCAAGGCCACGAUGCAUAGCCGACCUGAGAGGGUGAUCGGCCACACUGGGACUGAGACACGGCCCAGACUCCUACGGGAGGCAGCAGUAGGGAAUCUUCGGCAAUGGACGAAAGUCUGACCGAGCAACGCCGCGUGAGUGAGGAAGGUUUUCGGAUCGUAAAACUCUGUUGUUAGAGAAGAACAAGGACGUUAGUAACUGAACGUCCCCUGACGGUAUCUAACCAGAAAGCCACGGCUAACUACGUG